Haliotis rufescens (red abalone) is the source of this 1575-nucleotide long non-coding RNA. RefSeq lists it as uncharacterized. The record is from RefSeq and is a predicted model, not a curated record. The transcript has 3 exons. NCBI's taxonomy places the organism in Eukaryota, Metazoa, Mollusca, Gastropoda, Lepetellida, Haliotidae.
UAUCCUCAUCCGUACAUUUGAAUCUCGCAGGACAGCUUCCGCCAAGCCCAUUAAAAUACUUUUGAGCAGGAUUCGGAUACCUAACCACUUUGUCCUACUUAGUGAGCAAAUUCACCCCCCAAUGAAAAAGAGGACAUGGGCUACAGUGGGACUACCACAUACUACCAAAAGUGUGUCAAUUAUUUGUAUGUGUUAUAUUUCUUUUUUUAACAAAAUUAUUUAUACAUACGUUCUUAGAUGCAAUAAAUGUUGUAUAAUGUCGGUUAUAACAGGUAACAAUAUAACAUUAACACUUUAGAGCUAUUAUUCCAACAAGACCAAUAAAUAAAUAGAAAAUAACAACUAAUUAAGAGGCUUGGAUAGGAUCAUCGAUCGUAGUCAUUUUAAACAACUACAACAGGCGAUGAAUGCUUUACACAUUGCCCUUGAAGAGAUGACAUGUGCAUAUUUGUAACAUUUCAAUGAGAUCAUAUUAUAUGGCAUUCUGUAAUAUUCCUACAUCUGUUCCUGAUAGUAUAUUAUAUUUCACUUAUGUUCCAGAUCAGCAACUGCCUCUUGGAUAAAGGCGACGGUAGUAGUGGUGAAACAAGACUCGAUGUGACAGAGACCAGGGAUGCUGUCAUCACCAUCUCACCUACACUAUCAGUGAGGCCUCCUAAGAUUGUAAGUGCUGAUUCUGAUGUAAAUUUAAUCUUUUCUUUGAGAUCAGAGGUGAGAUAUGGUUAGUUAUUUUUUGACCAAUAUAUUAAAUGGUCAUUAUCUCUUUGCAGAUGGAGCAAGAAGAACAUUUCAAAAAGUAGAAGAAGCCUCGUCACGACGACAAGACACAAACCACCUCAACACCUGAGAAAAACGAAGUGAACUGUUCCGGUGCUGCUGCUCCUGCAGAUGAAACGAUGGACCUUGAUCUGACGUCACUCGAUGAUACAGUCAACCAUACAUCAGUAGAAAUAAUAGCACCUCUCGUGUCCACCAUGGAGGAUUCAUCAACAGUUCCCCACCGGCCACACUCCAGUUCAUCCACAAGUAGCUAUUGUCGAAUACACUGGCAGGUUUCCCGAGGUAGGCCUAUUUCUUGUGUGUAAAGGUUGCAAAUCUCUGUAAUAAUUUUGUCAAGAAUGAAAUAUAAAUCUAAAUAUUCUAAAUAGUAGUCUUUCAGUCAAAAACUGCUCAAAGGCGCUUCUGUUUUCCCCCGAUCUAACGAGCUGUAUGCGUUCAUUGUCGUCAGUCAUUUUGUUGAUCAAUGUGACCAUACGCCCUUAUACUGCCAAUAAAAGUGACAAAUGCGCAAGCUUACGAAGCACAGGUCUAGAUUUCUGCUAUAUACUCACGGGGAGAAAACAAUAAAAAGGCUUUAGAUCAGUGACCCUUUAAGAAAAUCCGCACCGAUCAAUCCUAGAUGUGUCACAAAAGUUGAAAAAAGAACAAGAAACAUUUUCCGUAUAACACUUAACAGGUUCGUAAGUGUGAGCCGUUAUGAUCCACUAUAAGUGAUCUAUUAUAUAUGAUUCAUAACUACCGCGAUAAUAUAGCGUACAAUCCUACAUCUGCAUGGUCUUGGCGAGAAAGUCCUCU